GGGGGGGGGCAUGCAGAUGAAGUAGUAUGCAGAAGGGCAGGAGAUGAGAAAUGGAGGAGGGUAUUUGGAUGAAAAAAGGAUGGAAUGACAGAUAAAUGAGAAAGAGGAGAUAGCUGUGUGUUUCCCAUAGAGCAGGGCUGAGGUUCAGGACAGUCAGCUCUGUCUGUGUGUUUCCCAUAGAGCAGGGCUGAGGUUCAGGACAGUCAGCUCUGUCUGUGUGUUUCCCAUAGAGCAGGGCUGAGGUUCAGGACAUUCAGCUCUGUCUGUGUGUUUCCCAUAGAGCAGGGCUGAGGUUCAGGACAUUCAGCUCUGUCUGUGUGUUUCCCAUAGAGCAGGGCUGAGGUUCAGGACAUUCAGCUCUGUCUGUGUGUUUCCCAUAGAGCAGGGCUGAGGUUCAGGUUCAGUCUCCUGUGUUGAGUUUCUCCUUUUGAGAUCACUCUAUGUAACUCCACAUGCAUCCAAAAUGGCACCCUAUCCCCUAUAUAGUGCACUACUUUAGACCAGAGCCCUAUAGAACCCUAUCCCCUAUAUAGUGCACUACUUUAGACCAGAGCCCUAUAGAACCCUAUUCCCUAUAUAGUGCACUACUUUAGACCAGAGCGCUAUAGAACCCUAUCCCCUAUAUAGUGCACUACUUUAGACCAGAGCCCUAAUGCUCCCUAUUCCCUAUACAGUGCACUACUUUAGACCAGAGCCCUAAUGCUCCCUAUUCCCUAUACAGUGCACUACUUUAGACCAGAGCCCUAUAGAACCCUAUCCUCUAUAUAGUGCACUACUUUAGACCAGAGCCCUAUAGAACCCUAUCCCCUAUAUAGUGCACUACUUUAGACCAGAGCCCUAUAGAACCCCAUUCCCUAUAUAGUGCACUACUUUAGACCAGAGCCCUAUAGAACCCUAUUCCCUAUAUAGUGCACUACUUUAGACCAGAGCCCUAAUGCUCCCUAUUCCCUAUACAGUGCACUACUUUAGACCAGAGCCCUAAUGCUCCCUAUUCCCUAUACAGUGCACUACUUUAGACCAGAGCCCUAUGGGGUAGUGCACCAAAUAGAGAAUAGGGUACUGUACAGUGAUAACCUGAGAAAAGCAGCUCUGCAAACAAAGCAAGGUGAGAGAGAGGCCGUGGGAGAGGGGGAGAGAGGGAACGAGGGAGUGGGUCGUAGAGGGAGAGGAGGAAGGGGGAUAUGGAGAGAGGGACGGUGAGAGAGAGGCCGUGGGAGGGGGG
Molecule: long non-coding RNA, 1222 nt
Organism: Oncorhynchus tshawytscha (Chinook salmon)
Lineage: Eukaryota; Metazoa; Chordata; Actinopteri; Salmoniformes; Salmonidae
Source: Ensembl